This 340-nucleotide long non-coding RNA is filed under the name Nicotiana benthamiana. Its description in RNAcentral is "long non-coding RNA (NBEN_LNC035189)". The record is from RNAcentral. Lineage: Eukaryota; Viridiplantae; Streptophyta; Magnoliopsida; Solanales; Solanaceae.
UUGGGACAGGAUUUCCUUCCAUACAUGAGUGUAGUCAUGCCUCCUUUGCUUCAAUCUGCUCAACUAAAGCCUGAUGUGACCAUAUCAUCUGCAGAUUCUGACAAUGAACAAGCUUCAAUCUGCUCAACUAAAGCCUGAUGUGACCAUAUCAUCUGCAGAUUCCGACAAUGAACUUGAUGAUUCAGAUGACGAUAGGUAAAUCCUUUAGAAUGAUGUUUGCCUCCUAUUUAAUUUAGAAAGUUAUUGACAUUCCUCUAAGUUCUGGUAAUUAUUAUAUUCAAUUUUGGGGGGGGGGGGGGAAGUCAGAAUUGGCAAAUAAUGUGCCAUAUGAUACUUUGGG